RNAcentral lists this ribosomal RNA (901 nucleotides) under uncultured bacterium. RNAcentral describes it as "bacterial SSU rRNA". It matches the Rfam family "Bacterial small subunit ribosomal RNA", at positions 8 to 882 of the family's 1533-position model. The record is from RNAcentral.
AGAGUUUGAUCAUGGCUCAGGACAAACGCUAACGGUGCGCCUAAUACAUGCAAGUCGAACGAGCGAUGUAGAAGUGGCAACACUUUUACAAAGCUAGUGGCGAACGGGUGAGUAACGCGUAGGUAAUCUGCCUUGGAGAUUGGGACAACCAUUCGAAAGAAUGGCUAAUACCAAAUACCUUAUAUUAAUCGCAUGAUUUUUAUAAUAAAGGGGGCUUUUAGCUCUCGCUUCAAGAUGAACCUGCGUCCUAUUAGCUUGUUGGUGAGGUAGAAGCUCACCAAGGCAACGAUGGGUAGCCGGCCUGAGAGGGUGAUCGGCCACACUGGGACUGAGAUACGGCCCAGACUCCUACGGGAGGCAGCAGUAGGGAAUCUUGCGCAAUGGGCGAAAGCCUGACGCAGCGACACCGUGUGAAGGAUGAAGGCCUUCGGGUCGUAAACUUCUGUCAAUUGGGGACGAAGGUAGUAGAGUUAAUACCUCGAAUACUGACGGUACCCAAUAAGGAAGUCUCGGCUAACUCCGUGCCAGCAGCCGCGGUAAGACGGAGGAGGCAAGCGUUGUCCGGAAUCAUUGGGCGUAAAGAGCGCGUAGGCUGUUUUUCAAGUCAUUUGUGAAAACCUCAGGCUUAACUUGAGGACUGCAUAUGAAACUGGAAAACUUGAGUGCAGUAGGGGAAAGUGGAAUUCCUGGUGUAGCGGUGAAAUGCGCAGAUAUCAGGAAGAACACCGGUAGCGAAGGCGGCUUUCUGGGCUGCUACUGACGCUGAGGCGCGAAAGCUAGGGGAGCAAACAGGAUUAGAUACCCUGGUAGUCCUAGCUGUAAACGAUGGACACUAGGUGUGGGGAGUUAUCGACGCUUUCCGUGCCGGAGCUAACGCAUUAAGUGUCCCGCCUGGGGAGUA